This 497-nucleotide ribosomal RNA is filed under the name uncultured bacterium. RNAcentral's name for it is "partial 16S ribosomal RNA". It matches the Rfam family "Bacterial small subunit ribosomal RNA", at positions 28 to 507 of the family's 1533-position model. The record is from RNAcentral.
GAUGAACGCUGGCGGCGUGCCUAAUACAUGCAAGUCGAGCGAACAGACGCGGAGCUUGCUCCUUUGACGUUAGCGGCGGACGGGUGAGUCACACGUGGAUACCCUCCCUAUAAGUCUGGGAUAACUUCGGGAAACCGGAGCUAAUACCGUAUAAUCUACUGCACCGCAUGGUUCAAUAGUGAAAUACGGUUUUGCUGUCUCUUAUAGCUGGAUAUCGGCUGCAUUGGCUGGUUGGGAAGGUACCAGCCUUCCAAGGCUACGCUGCGUAGCCGACCUGAGAGGGUGAUCGGCCACACUGGAAGUGAGACACGGUCCAGACGCCUAAGGUAGGCAGCAGUAGGGAAUCUUACGCAAUGGGCGAAAGCAUGACGCAGCAACGCCGCGUGAGAUAUGAAGGCCUUCGGAUCGUAAAACCCUGUUAUUAGGUAAGAACAAAUGUGUAAGUAACCAAAGACGUCUUGACGGUACCUAAUAAGAAAGCAACGGCUAACUACGUG